RNAcentral lists this long non-coding RNA (20356 nucleotides) under Lathyrus oleraceus (garden pea). Its description in RNAcentral is "Pisum sativum (pea) long non-coding RNA (PSAT_LNC037996)". Lineage: Eukaryota; Viridiplantae; Streptophyta; Magnoliopsida; Fabales; Fabaceae. The record is from RNAcentral.
GAAAAAUAGAGCAAUAGGAAAAACAUCUUUUCAAUUGAGACGAAAGAUAUUGAUAACUCAAGCGCAAUGCAGGCAAAAUAUUAUCAUUCUGUAAGUUCCAUAUGUCGUUGUUCAGAACUUCAAUCCACUCUUCAGUAUCUACUUUCGAACGCAAUAGUCCUCCAAGUGAUUUUGCAGCGAUUGGCAAUCCACCACACUUUCUGGCAAUCUUCCUGCCAAUUGGUUCUAGGUUUCGGCGUUGAGUUUCAGAAAAGUCUCCACUUCCAAAUGCAUGUUUGGAGAGUAAAAACCAACUGUCUUCAUGGGAUAGAGGAUCUAAUGAAAAAAUAGGAAAUGUGCGUGCAACAUCUGCCACUUUUUUGUGGCGUGUUGUGAUGAUCAUUCUGCUUCCAUUUUUUCCAUAUAUCAACGGAGAUGCAAGUUCAUCCCAAUCAGAAUAACUGUCAUUCCAUAAGUCAUCCAACACAAUGAAAAAUCUUUUGUCCCUCAAAUUUUUCUUUAACUCAACUCGAAGAAUAUCAAGAUUACUGUCAUUCCAUGUUUUUGAAGUGACAGAUUCAAGGAGAGCUUUGGUUACUCUAAAAACAUCAAAAUCCUCCGAUACACAAGCCCAUGCUUUGAGAUCAAAGUGAUGUUCAACUUUUUCAUCAUUGUAAGCAAGUUGUGCAAGUGUUGUUUUUCCGACACCUCCCAUGCCUACAAUUGCAACUACGCCCAUAUUGUUCUGGCUAGUAUUGCUUUGUGAUAGCAACAUGUUCAUUACUUUGUCUUUGUCAUCUUUCCUACCAACCAUGACAGAUUCAUUGAACAUAGGAGUUGAAGGUGUUCUACGAGAAACUCCGACACUUUUAGUUUGCAAACUAAUGAUAUCUUUAUUUUCAGCAAAAUGUUUGAGGUUUAAGCACAUUUUUUUCAUUUGGGAAUUGAUCUCUUCAUAGUUAUUUGUAGAAGGAGAAAAAAAGAAGUUCCAGACCUGUUUAGUUUUGCUUGCAGCUUGCGUGUUCUCCAUCUGGCAUUGAAGGGAAUCAUAGCUAAUUUGGUUGAGCAGAUCUUCAGCAUCGUAGAGAGCAUCUUUCAAGCCAUCAAGCCAUUGUUUGACAGAAGGAGUGUUGAUCUGCUUCUCCUCUGCAGCAUCUAGCACAGGUUGAAUAGUGAGUAGUGUUUGUCCUAACUGUUCCAAGAGUGAGUCAUCGAACUUGGUUUUUUUGAAGUAAUCAAGAAACUCUUUGGAAGCAAGUUUCUGAACUAAGGUUUGAACAGUUGCAGAGAGGAAAGCACUUCCAAUCAUAGUUGCAGCCAUUUUGUAUUAGCAAAAGAUUGAAGGAAAUCAAGAUCUGUGUGAAUCGAUAGCAAAGAGUGGUAUGUCAAUGGUUUUCUUGAAUGGUUGGCUGUGGUAAUAGUAAAGCAAGAGAUACAUGUGAUGUGAAUACGGACUGAUUCAAUCAUUGAUGCAAAGGAAUGGUUAUUGAUAUAAGUUAUAUAUGGUUCAUGUGGGUCCAUGUAAUAAUGCGGUGACCUAGCUGUAUUGAAAUCAAUACACCCUCCGAUCACUAUUAUAAGUAAUUUUUUUUUUGUAUAUUUGACCGUCAAUGUAUCUAGUACAUCAAACGUACCAAAAAAGUCAAAUUUAUUUAUAAUAGUAACUGGAGGGUGGAUGUUGUUAUUUUGACCAAUUUGAUACACUUUGUAUAGACAAUGCUUUUGAAACUUGUUUGCUUUAAAACUGAUGGGAGUACUCAUUCACAAAUCAACCACCACGACAGAUAAUACAGAAUCUGAAUUUUCAAAGCUGUAAUUAGUUACAGCUUUUAUGUAACUGGUUACAGGCUGCUGCAAUUGCUUUAUCUUGUUGAAAACGAUGUCUCGGCUGAUCAUAACUCUCUUAUUUGUUGCAUCAAACAACUUAUAAGCCCCAAUGAAGUAAUACUCUACAAGUAUCAUAAUUUCUCCCUUAUCAUCCAGCUUCUUUCUAAGCUCACCCAGAACAUGCUGAUAUGCUAUAGAACCAAAAUAUCAAAUGGUUCAAAUUCGGUUUGAAUCGCGACCAUGCUUCCUCCGGUGUUAUCUUCUCAAGCUUCUUUGUUGGAUACUUAUCCAACAAAUAGAUAGUUGUGGAUAUCGCUUCUCCCCAUAACUCCUUCAACAAAUUCUUCCCCUUUAUCUCAAGCUUCUUUGUUGGAUACUUAUCCAACAAAUAGAUAGUUGUGGAUAUCGCUUCUCCCCAUAACUCCUUCAACAAAUUCUUCCCCUUUUACAUGUUUCUUACCAUAUUCGUAAUCGAUCAAUUCUUUCUUUUGACAACACUAUUGUGUUGCGGUGUAUAAGAUGGUACAACCUCAUGUACCAUCCCUUCUUGAUCACAAAACCUCUCAAAGUAUUUUGAGACAUAUUUGCCUCUACCAUGUAUUUUGAGCACUUUGAGCUUAUGAUCGCUUUGUCUCUCAACCAUGGACUUGAACUUCUUAAACACUUUGAAUACAUCAUCUUUUAUGUUGAUUAAGUAUGUCCAUAGUGUUAAACUGAUAUAAAACUUUCAUAUUAUUUCAAUCGUAUAUUACAAGGAGGGAAUAGGUUAUAUUUAUAUACACAGAAAACCUAUUUCUAAUUAUAACUAAAUCAGAAUAAUUAUAGUCAAAUCAUGGUAAUUAACAAUUAAUAACUAUAUUCCUAUUAUAGUUCCUAAAAUCUUGUUGACAGCUAACGCCAACACUCCCCCUCAAGUUGGUGCAUAGAGAUCUCGAAUGGCCAACUUGUCAAGUGCGUUGUAGAAGUCUCUGCUACAUACAGCUUUUGUGAGUAUAUCUACUAAUUGAUUUUCAGAUUUAACAAACGGGAAUUGAAUUAUCUUGGUCUCCAAAUUAUGCUUAAUGAAGUGUCGAUCUAUUUCCACGUGUUUUGUCCGAUCAUGUUGAACCAGAUUAUGAGCAGUUUCAAUUGCAGACUUGUUGUCACAAAAAAGGUUCAUCGCAUUAUUCGGAGCAAAGCCAAUUUCAAUUAACAAUCUUCGAAGCUAAAGAAGCUCACAAAGACCUUUAGCCAUCCCUCAAAACUCUGCUUCACCACUUGAUAAUGCUACAACCUUUUGUUUCUUACUUUUCCAUGUAACCAAAUUUCCUCCAACAAAGGUAAAAUAGCCUGAGGUGGAUUUUCUGUUGGUGAUAUCUCCUUCCCAGUCAGCGUCUGUAUAACCUUAAACUUGUACAUGAUUAUUCUUUGUGAACAUCAAGCCUUUUCCAGGCGAGGACUUCAAGUACCGCAUGAUUCGAAUUACCGCGUCCAUGUGAUCUUUACUCGGGUUGUGCAUAAAUUGACUUACUACACUUACCGCAUACGCUAUAUCAGAUCGUGUAUGAUAUAAGUAAAUAAUUUUGCCAACCAAUCUCUAGUACAUUCCUUUGUUUGUUGGCACUUGAUCUAGAUAUUCUCCAAGUUGGUGGUUCUGGACAAUUGGAGUAUCUACAGGUUUACAGUCUAGUAGCCCAACUUCUGAUAAAAGAUCUAGGAUAUAUUUUCGUUGAGAUAAAAAGAUGCCUUUCUUCGACCUAGCAACUUCAAUACCUAGAAAAUAUUUGAGCCCACCUAGAUUUUUCAUCUCAAAUUCGGUUGCAAGUUGUUUUUGAAGGUUUGCUAUUUCCUCAGAGUCAUCUCCUGUAAUAAUCAUAUCAUCUACAUACACAAUCAAAGUUGUGACCUUACCUUGACGAUGUUUCAGAAACAACGUAUGAUCUGCGUUGCUUUGUUGGAAGCCAUAAUUUUUCAUUGCCAGGUUCAAUCUCCCAAACCACGCUCUAGGAGAUUGCUUCAAGCCGUACAAAUUGCGUUGCAAUUUACACACCACCUUAGUCUCAUAAUUUGUCAUGUAUCCCGGAGGGAUAUCCAUAUAUAUUUCUUCUUUCAAGUGCCCAUGGAGAAAUGCAUUUUUCACGUCUAACUGAUGCAAUGGCCAAUCCAGAUUUACUGCAAGAGAUAAAAGAACUCUGACAGUGCUCAACUUGGCAACAGGUGAAAAAGUUUCUUGAUAGUCUACGCCAUAUGUUUGUGUAAAGCCUUUAGCCACUAAUCUUGCUUUGUACCUUUCAAUAGACCCAUCAACUUUGUACUUGAUAGAGAAAACCCACUUACACCCUACUGGUUUCUUUCCUUUUGGUAAAGGGACAAGAGUCCAUGUCGCAUUCUUGUUUAAUGCCUCCAUUUCUUCAUUCAUAGCUUGAACCCAUCUAGGGUCUUCAAUGGCCUCUUCAACGUUGCUAGGUACACUGUAUGAAGACAGCUCAUUUGCAAAUUUCUUAAGGGGUUCAGACAAGUCCUUCAUAGAGACAUAAUUAGCAAUUGGAUACCUUGAUCUAUGAUCCUCUUCUUCAGGAGAGUAACGCUUCGGUGGUUUUCCCCGAUUAUGCCUGUGAGGUAAUUCAUAGCUAACAGAGAUAUCACCAUUAUUAUUAUUAUUAUUAUUAUUAUGAGAUAUAGGAGAGUUUACCUCAAUGAUAUUCUCAGGAGAUGGAUCGUUGAGUACUGGAGAGGGGGGGAAUUCCGAUACUUCAACUUCAGGACUCAUAUGGUCUGUUUGAGUUUGACAAGAAUCACCAAAAACUUCAGUUGAAGGUAUAUCAAUAUCUUUGAACCAGUCAAAUGUCGACCAAUUCGACUCUUCUUCUGGUGUCUCCCCCUGAAGAGAAGAAUUGGGUGAUACAGAUGAGUAGAAAUGGUCAAAUUCCAAGAAUGUAACAUCCAUAGUUACAUAAAUGCGUCGAGUAAUAGGGUCAUAGCAACGAUACCCUUUCUGGUGUACACCAUAUCCCAAAAACAGGCAGCGAAUGGCACACGAAUUAAGCUUUGUACGCUGGUUUUUAUGUAGGUGAACAAACGCAACACACCCAAAGACUCGAGGUGGCAGCAUUUGUAUUAUAGGCAGCGGUACAAAUGUGGACAAGGUCUGCAGCGGAGUUUUAAAUUCAAGGACCUUUGAUGGCAUCCGAUUGAUGAGAUAUACUGCUAUAGUAACAACGUCAGUCCAAUGGCGGUGAGGCACAUGUGCUCCAUGUAAAAGAGCACGGGCAGUUUCAAGGAUAUGGCGAUUUUUUUGUUCCGCAACACCAUUUUGUUGUGGGGUUUGUGGACACGUGGUUUCGUGAAUAAGUCCGUGUUUUUUGAAAUACUCAUGGAAUUGAUGAUUUACAAACUCCCCACCAUUAUCAGAGCGAAGGAUCUUAAUUUUCUUUGAAUAUUGAGUUUGANCACAAUGAGAGCACUUAGUGCCAUUAGAUGGUUCUUUAUGUUUGGAUUGAGAAAGUAUCUUACUGCUAUGUAAUUUGAGACCCUUAGAUGCAAGAACUGCUCCAGAUAAUUCAUUGGAGUUGUCUGUCAUUACUGCCUGACGAAGAGCUUCCCUCCUAACAUGUGCAUAUGCUUGCUCCACUGUUGGAAACGAUUUCAUUUGUAAAACAUCGCUUCUGAUAUUAUCUAAGCGGUCAUCAAGUCCAUCCAAAAACACAUACACUCGUUCUUCUUGGAUAAGUGUAUUGUAAUGUUGGAUAUCAACUUGACAUGUCAUCGGAUUUGGACGAAGAAAAUCUAUCUCACGCCAAAGUCCUUGGAGAUCGUUAUAAUAUUUUUCAAGAGAACCACCGGCUUGUUUAAGACGUGUCACCCGUCGCCGAAGGUCAUACACCUAGGAGGUGUCACUGCCAUCAAAGUACGUGGUCGCAAUUGCAUCCCACACCAGCUUGGCAGUGGAGAAGCGAAUAAAGUUGUAGAUUAGAGAAGAGUCCAUUAAGUUGAUUAUCCAUCCCUUAACAAUCGCGUUGUCAGUCCGCCAACGUCGAAAUGUAGGAUCUGUUUGAGGGGGUUGCGGGAGAUCUCCAUUGAUAUAUCCUAGUUUGUCUUUGCCCGAGAUAUACAUCUCGACCACCUGGGACCAAAGGGGAUAGUUGUUGCCAUCUAACUUGAUUCCAAUCGGUGCCACCGUAUGGUCAAAGCCAAUUUGUGACGGGGCUGACGCACGGUACAGAACUUCCGUCAUUUUCGUCGUCAAUUCAAUAAGAAUGGAAGACGAAGUAACCUCAUCGGAGUUUGAAUCCGAGUCGGCCAUGGAAGAAGGAUGGAAAGUGUUACCGUAGGUCAGGAUUAAGACCUGGCGGCUGAUACCACGUUAAACUGAUAUAAAACUUUCAUAUUAUUUCAAUCGUAUAUUACAAGGAGAGAAUAUGUUAUAUUUAUAUACACAGAAAACCUAUUUCUAAUUAUAACUAAAUCAGAAUAAUUAUAGCCAAAUCAUGGUAAUUAACAAUUAAUAACUAUAUUCAUAUUAUAGUUCUUAAAAUCUUGUUAACAGCUAACGCCAACACAUAGCUUUCUACUAUGACCGUCGAUGAAUGUGACAAAAUAUUUAUUACCACCAAUUGAGUCAACUUGCAUCGGUCCACACACAUAUGAAUACACCAUCUCAAGGUGAUUCUUGGUUCUACAACCUGCAUCCUUGUUGAAUUUACCCUUAUGUUGCUUCACUCACACACAUUCUUCACAAAUUUCAGUUGGUAUGUUGAUCAACAUCGUUACCAUUCCGUUCUUUUGCAAAGUCUUUGAGAUCUUAGAAAUUUAGAUGCCCAAGACGAUAAUUCCAUAUCCACUAUUCUUGACUAGUCGCUGUAGCAAGACACCUAUGAUCCAUAACCUUCAUUUCAACCUUGAAAGUUCUAUUUGCAGCCAUAUAAGCUUUAUGGGCCAAAACCCAUUAUGCAUCCAUAAUGCGCAACCCCUUAUUUUUCAUGUGAAUCUUGUAACCCUUCUCAAGCAAUUGGCCAAUACUUAUAAGUUUAUAUUUGAUUCCUGAAAUUUAAAAUACAUCUUUGAUCAAGGAAUUUCCAUCAUCCUUUCUCAUGCAAAACAUCAUACGAUCCAUCGGGCCGUAGAGUGGUGUCAUCCGUGAACAUCAACUUUGUCGCUUCAUGGGCAGCGAUUGAUUUAACAAAACAAUCCUGUCCUCCCAAUCAUAUGAGUAGACACAACCGGAGUCCAAAUACGCAUUCCUCGUUGGCAAUGAGUUGAGUCUAUUCGUAGCUGCAUCAUGAAAUAUCUUCUACUUGUAACCGGUUAUAGUUUUACGUAACCGUUAAAUUUGAUACAACUUAAGAACAUCUUGGUAGCCAAACAAUACCUUCAUUUGUUUGCACCAAUUUUCAUAAUUCUUCACAUCAAGGAUGAGUAUGUUUGUAGGGAUUCUUUCAUUGAAGACAUAAUUCAUGUUGUACACUAGGUAUUUAUGGAUCAAAAUCAGACUCUUGAUGCCAAAUGUUAGAACUUGGAACCAUAAUAUUAGUGAGUAAUGGGGAAAUUGAGUGUAAAGAAGUGUCAUACCCUAAAUUUCCCCCCACCUAAUUCAUCAGCAAUCAUUCAUCUGCAUUCACUCAUUUGUGUCUAUUCGUUUGCAUUCAUUAUUAACUAGCAUUACAUUUUGCAUCAUGAUCAGUUCAUCUGGUCAUAUGAUCCCAUCUUCAUGCAUAGAUUAAAAUUCAAUAAUUAAGGAUUAAAUAUAUUUGUUUGUGUUUAGUUUGAUAAGCUCAGCUCAUUAUUUUUUAUCAUAAAUCAUUUAAGUCAUUAAGGUGAUUGAUUUAGAUGAUUCCUGACCUUUCUGGAUGCCACUUGUGGUUGACUAAAGUCUUGAUUUUCUAAUCACAAUUACUCGUAAAAUUUGUGAUAAUAACUCAUACAAACAUCUAUCAUUCUAUCAUAUACUAUGUCAUUCAGUNCAUACCCUAAAUUUCCCCCCACCUAAUUCAUCAGCAAUCAUUCAUCUGCAUUCACUCAUUUGUGUCUAUUCGUUUGCAUUCAUUAUUAACUAGCAUUACAUUUUGCAUCAUGAUCAGUUCAUCUGGUCAUAUGAUCCCAUCUUCAUGCAUAGAUUAAAAUUCAAUAAUUAAGGAUUAAAUAUAUUUGUUUGUGUUUAGUUUGAUAAGCUCAGCUCAUUAUUUUUUAUCAUAAAUCAUUUAAGUCAUUAAGGUGAUUGAUUUAGAUGAUUCCUGACCUUUCUGGAUGCCACUUGUGGUUGACUAAAGUCUUGAUUUUCUAAUCACAAUUACUCGUAAAAUUGUGAUUAACUCAUACAAACAUCUAUCAUAUACUAUGUCAUUCAUGCAUUUUUUCUUCCAAGCAUUUCUUUUAUCAUACAUCCAUAAUUUACACUUGUUGCAUUAUAUUUAGUGUUUGAAUAUGUGGAAGGUUUUAUUUGGAUUGUAUUAAGGUUUGGCUUUACUAUUUAAAGUUAUAUCUUGGCAUUCCUAAAAUUAGGUUCUAAUGGUCUUAUCAUGGUAUUGUUCUUAGGUUAUAGCAAGAGGUUUCUUAUGUUAAGUAGAAGUAAUAAUAAUAAUUAAAAUUUGUUUUAAAAAGGGGUACUCAUGGGCAUGAUAAUUUAUUUUGAUUAUGUUAAUUGGAUUUGAGUAAAGUAUUUGGUCACAUUUUAUAAAUAAAUAUCACUCCUCUAUCUUAAAAUUAAAAAAAUAUUUAUAUUUAAUUUCACUUUGUCUUCUACAUCACAAAUAUAGAAAAAAACUCAAAAAAUAUAAAAAUAAGUUUUCACAUUAUAAUAAGGUCCAGGUAUUUUUUAUAGUAACAAAUUACAUUAAAAAAGAGAAAAUAUGUCCAAGUGAGGGACCCCUUAAAACUUGAUUUGGUUGGAGCAUCAUCUGAUUUCUAAGUCGGACCUAUACAAACAGGUACCACAGUUAGCAUAAUUUCAGAAACAAGUCCAAAAUAAUUUUAAAAAAAAAUAGAAAGGGUAAUGUGCAGGUUCUCAAUAAUAAAACAUAGUUUCACCAAAAUGAGAGUUAAUUUCUGACUUCAAAAAAGGUGUUAGCCAGUUGUUCUUAUUUAUCUUUUGAAUCAAACAAACAAGCAGAAGUGGAGGGGGAUUCUAUUCUUUCGAAAGAUAAAUAGCUACCAUAUUUCUCUAACACAUCAGUACCAAGAAGUUCCAAGGAGGAUCCGAGAAAAAAAAACAUAAAAAAACAGCAGUAAGGAAAAUAAAAAAAUCAAAGAUAGAUCAAUAGCCAAUAGCCAACAUCUUCAAAAUAUUCCUCAGAAAAAAAUCACAUACCACAAAACCUAACAGAAAAUUUCUUAUUAUCGAAAGAGCAAAAGUCAGAGACAUGUACCUGAGAUCGGUACCCCUUCCUGACCAUUCUUAUUUCUCAUCAUGUUUUUUCUUUUUGAACCUUUCAUAUUCGUUAUACUCAAUAUACACAUGCUCUGGUUGAUGUAUAAUUUUGUUUCGUCUCCCAUUUUCUUAUUGAUGGCCUGACCGUCGAUUCUUCAUAGCCCAAUGUGAAACUGUGAGAGUUUGGUUCUCGUUGAUUCAGGGUCAGCCACCGUGGAGGUUUUGGUUGGCCGAUUCGCAACCGUGAGAGCGGCCAUUUUUGAGUUAGGGUCGAUCGAUUCGCCAUUGUGUGAGUUUGGUACGUAUGGUGAGGCCGUGUUGAAUCAUAAGUUUGGUUCGUGAAGAAGAAAAAAAUUGAAGCUAGGUGAAGGUCUUGAGCGGACGUUUUUAGUUUUAGGUUAGGGUUUUGUCUUCACUGGUUUGUUUUAUGUUGUUUUGGGGCGGGUCGAUUGAGAUCCAAUUGGAUCUCCUGAACCGCCUUCCCCCUUUAAAAUUGUUCCACCCAUUUUUAGGCCCAAUGUUGUUUUUUUAUUAAAAAAAAUGACUUGGUUUUGAUGUUUGUAUUAAUGGUUGAACGUGUUUCCCAACUGGUUGCUCAUGUCCUAGUGGUUGAGACAUAUUCUGUUUCCCAUUAAGCUCUUAAUUCGAUCCUUGGCCUUGGCAUUGUUUUGGUUUCAUUAAUUUAUUUUCUUAGAAUCGCCAUUCUUUAUUCUAUUUUCCUUUCAUAACUAUUCGAUUUAGAUUAAUCUUUUUUUUCUUCCGUAUCCCCUAUUUAAUUUAAAAAAAACAUUAUUGUUUUAUUCUAUUUUCGUUUAUUUUUAUUUUUAUUUUUAUUUUUAAAUGCGUCAAAAAAAAGAGGAAACUUACUUAUUUGUUCAUAUAUUUAUUUAUUUAUUUAUAAUCGAUUUAUUUUGGGUCCUUUUAUGUCAAGUCUGUGUGAAGGUAUCCAUUCAGCUUCCUUUGAUUUCAAACAUCCAUACUUCGAUCAUUUUAAUCUCAAACCUUCACAUUAACCUUUUCAUUCAAAUCUUUUCUAAGUAAAAUGUGAAGAAAAAGAUUACCCUGGAUGGAAUAUUAAGUCGUAAUCCCGAAUAUUAGACCUAAGUUGUAAGAGCUUGCAAGCCAUAAGUAUUCGUCUUCUCUUCAAAACACUCCAAUAUUCAAAUCAUGUUCAUAAGUGAAUUUGAAGAAAAAGAUUACCCGAAUGAAAUAUCCAGUCAUAAUCCCGAAUGCUAGGCCCAAGUUGUAAGAGCUUGCGAGCCAUAAGUAUUCGUCUUCUCUUCAAAAUACUUGUAAAUAUUCAAACUUCUUUUCUCAAUAAAAUUGGUGGAAAAAGAUUACCUGGGUGAAAGGUCCAGAUGUAGUCCCGAGGAUUAGACCCAAGUUGUAAGACAUAAAUACUCGUCUUCCAAGCCCGAAAAUACAUUCAACCAAUCAAACUCUUUUAUUCGCCGUCGUGCGAUUGAUCAGAAAAACCUUUUCAUAAACGAAAGACACCUUGUCUUAAGGUGAUGUAAAGAAAUGCUUCGGCCAUAAUUGUUGAGUUAAGAUAAGUGACGUUUUUCCGAAUGUUGAUUUGUAAAUUCAUUCGAUGUGUGGUAUACGUCUGCUCCUCAUUUGUUUUGGGUAAACCAAUGUUUUCAUCGAUUAAUACAAUAUAACUUUCGCUAAAAUCGACCAACAAACAAAUAUUUUUCUACCCAGAACUACAUAAGCCUUGGGUUCUCUAUUGCACCCGGAGAUACAUAAGAGCAGGAUUUGUAAAUCUUGUCAGGCCCAUUAAUGAAAAACUUAGGUUUAGUCUCCUUCGUUGCAAAAAAAAUCAAAAAACAUCUUCUCUUUUCUUUUGACCCUAUUAUCCUUUCCCUCAUAAUAACUUGAGAAGUCUAAUAUUUCAAGCUAACACUGACGCACACAAUUAACCUAAUGGUUCCCGUUGAGUGCAACGGACGUAAGAGGUGCUAAUACCUUCCCCUUGCGUAAUCGACUCCCGAACUCUGUUUUGGUUGCGACAACCGUAAUCAUUGUCGUUCUUUCUUGGGUUUUGUCAAUAUUUCCCCUUUCCUUUUUAGGAAUAAAUAAAGUUCGGCGACGACUCUGUUUAGUCCAUCAUGUGAGCGUGCGAUUGCGCUUCGCUAGGUCGUGUUCUCAUUUUUUCGAUGUGUGACAAUUGCCCCCAUUUAAAUAUCUUCAAUUGAUUUCAUGAGCAACGACAGUCCUCAUGAAGUCAAGCUGAAGGGUAUUUAAAUACAAAAGUAGCAUAUGAUGAAGUAGCAUGAGGGAUCUUAGGAUCAAAAUUCGGGUCUUACACAACUACCGUCGUCUUCUUUGCUCCAAUUUCCUCUUCUUCUUCGCAACAACUAGGGUUUCAGACCAUGAGAGUAUAACUAUGAACUAAUGCAACAACAAAUGUGAAAAUGCCAACAAUGUCCCUAUUAGGCAGAAACAAAAAAAAAUAUGAUAAAAAUAAAUUCAGAAAAAUACAAAAACACAAAAUUUUAUCUAAUUAGACGAAAUAAGAAUUUUGGAAAAUUUUUGGAAUUUUUUCGAGACUAUGAAAACAGUGAAAAAUUCAUAAAAAAAUAGAAAAAAGAUGAAUUUGGGAAUUUGAGUAAGGGACUAAUGAUCGCACGAUUUUUUUGCUCCUAGUAGACAAAACAAAAUUUGAAUCGGACACAAUUUUUCAGAAAUUCGGGUUUUCGGACCAGGAUAGAUCAGGUCGGACGAACGGACGCGAAUUGGCCAAAACAGCAAAUCGGAGGGCCAAAACACUACAAUCGACACCUAUGACUCAACUAACGAUUAAAAACAACAAGAAUCCCCGACAACGUCGCCAAUUUGAUCCGCUGUCGCGCACGAGUCAAAACGAGUAAUUAGAAAACUGUAGUUUAGCGGAAGCGACAACUCGAGUAUCGUAUCGCAAGGAUUCUUGUAUUAUUCUUAACCUAAUGAAAUCGAUUUAAAAGGGGUUUAUGUUUAUUAGUCGAUUUAGAAAACAAAGCAAAAAUAAGUGAUUAAAAUAAGUGAUUAAAAUAAGCGAUUAUAAAAUAAGUCAAUCUACUAUUUUUGGUUUCCGGUUAAUCAUUGGUUUUUACCUACCAAUUUCCUAAGCGACUUCGAUCUUUAUUGAGUUCAAUUUCGAUUGACAAGCGCAAUAGAUAUAUGACAGAUUUAUAUUCCUAUAUUCCGAAUUAAGCAAACGGAUAAAUAUAAUCGUGAGUUAAGCAAACACGAUUUGCAAACGCAAUUUAAUGACAAAGCGACGAAAACGGCGAUUAAUAGUUAGGAAUGAAAUCAUACGAAUUUAAUCAAAAUCAUUCCAUAAAAUAUAGAUUAAACAAAUGAAAUUUCAUAGAAUAGAAUUGAAAGAGAACGAAAUUAAAUUGAUAGAAUAAAAAUCUCAAAGCCUUGGAAAUUCGGUUACAGCAGAUUGACUCUAGGAGAUUAGUUCCUCUUCAUGAUCGCACGAAAGAAAAAAAGUUAUUAUGAAUAAUGUGUGUUUGCUACAGUACCACGGCUUCCCCUUUUAAACAGAAUAAGGGUUUCACUUAUAAUUCAAACUGGGCCGGAAAACCUAAAUUCGGCCCAACAAAUGGCCCAAAAGAAAAUAUUUCCCAAAAUACGAAACUUCAACGAAUUACUUGAGACGUAUGCACUCUGAAUCAGCUUUUGACUUCAACAUUAAAGUUGUAGAUCUUUCUCUUAGAUUUCCAACGCAUGUCAGAACUUGCAAAACGACAUCCCGUAACUCAAGUUAUGAUCCGAAUAAUGGACAUGUAUCAAAUAACCGUUAAAACUGAAAAUAGCAAACGAAAAUAGAUUAAAGGCAAACAUGAACUUAAAUCUAAAAACAUGAUAAAAUAGUACAAUAAGUAAAAUAAACUAGAUAAAUGGCUAAGUACAAUUAUAGAAGAAUGUGCAUCAAAAUACACUGAUCAGUACCUCUGUUGCAAUAUAUGAAAAAUUAAAUUUAUUUCAUAUUAUAAGUUUGUGAGGAUAUAUCAUUACAUAAACAACAACACAAACAAUUAAAACAACUACAAUACAAUAACUAAGCAAUUACGAUCAUCAAAACAAUUUUGAACAUGUAACGCAUCAUCCUAUGAACGUCUCGGUCAGUCUUAAUAUCCAUCCAUUCACGCACUUGUCCAUUUUGGUUAAGCGUGGACACAAGUAAUUGGAUUCUUCUAAUCCUUUCACCAUCCCCAAUUUCUCCAUCUAACUAACUGUUCAACGUUCGAUUAAGACGUUCAAACGAAUCUAUAUUCCAAAGUCGAAUCUUUAUCGGAGACGCAACGGCGGAAAAUAUUAAAUCGACAUUUCGCUUGUGAAUGUAUUCAGACAUGGUUAAAACUAAAAAACUUGAAGGAGAAUGAAGUUGAAUGAAAGAAAAUAUGGUUGUAGGGUAAGAUUUGUUGAAAAAUAUUGCAUACAGGGUGAGAUAUUUAUACAGAUGAGAUAGAAAAUGCAUGCGACAAGAGGCUAGGCGCCUGACAUGUCAGGACAUACAAGCGUCAGAGGCAUUGACGUCUCUUCAUAAGCCAAAAUACAUGCGCCAUAUGCAUUGACGCCUCUUUAUGAGGCUACCAAUGCAGGCGCCAUAAGCAUUGGUGUCUCUUCAUGAUGAAAAAUGGAUGUGCUAGUUCAUAUGGUGCAUCUAUUUUAAAAGGUGGUUAUUUUGGAUUUUUAAAAAAACAAAAAGGUUAUUUUGGAAUUCUUUUUAAAAAUUGUGAUCAUUUCAACAAAAAAAUCACAAUGUAGUAUAUAUAUAUAUAUAUAUAUAAUAUAAAAAAUGGAAAGACUAAUGUCUUAUAUUUAGUCAUAAAACAAUUCUAUACGUGAAAUAUAAAUAAUUGACAUUGAUAAAAGUCACAUAAAAAUGAGACUAACUUAGAGAGAUAGGCAAACAUAUAAUUUGGUGAAAAAUAUUAAGAGAUAUAAGUCCUAUAUAUAACAACAUUGCUGCUUCUAAUUAGUUAUUGAGUUUGAGAAAAAAAAAAGGAUUUGGGAGAGAAAAAAGAAAUUUGAAAUUUAAGGUUAGAGAUUCUCAUUUUUCUCUAAUCGAUUUUGGAAAAGUAGUAAUUAUGAAUUCGUUAACGGUUAGAAUGAGCUAAUGUUUGGACACAAGAUUCUUGAAACAUAUCAGAUACUCUUCGUGAUCGUAUUUUGGUUGAACGAGAGUGUUACGUGUUCUUUGUUGAAUUGGAAUACAAGAAUUUACCUCUUUAUAUUUAAUAAUGAAUGAUAUAAUGUGUUAAUGAUAUAAUGUGUUAUGUGUUCUUUGUUGAAUUAGAAUACAUGCGUUAAUAGUGAAUGACAUAAUAAAUUAUGACUAUGUAGAUUUAAUAAGUCAAACAACCAUACUUUUGAGAAUAACGCAGAGAAGGAUGAUUUUGUUGUGACCAUUUAGGGAGAGAUUGAAGUUAAUGCUAAUGAGGAGAAUUUAUCAUAAAUAAAACUCUAUAAAUGAAGAAUAAAUAACUUAAUCAAAACCGGACCGAACAUUAAACCGGAAUAGACAUGGAUUUAAGGUUUUAAGGUUUGAUCGGGAUUUAGGGUUUUAUUGUGCAAAUUUAUAAACCUCAUUAGCAUCACUAUCACAAACCAUUCUACUGUGCCUAUCUGAUUCAUUGUUAUACCAUCAUAACCAAUAUUUUGAAUGCUCAAGUUAACAAAGGUCUUUCACGAUGCCAAUAGCUUCAAAGAAGUUCCACUUAUCAUGAUCAAUGUCUAAUAUAUGUUAAUGCCCACCUAGGUAAUAUAUUACACUAUCCCUAACAAAUUUUCCCAUGUAAUGAAAUUUCAUAGUAAAACUCAUACCUUAUUGAAUCAAUCGCCUUGCUCAAAUGCGUAUUUGAUUCGUCUACCACAUUUGCCGCCAACAGACGUCGCCUUCCUCGCAAUCUCCUCCCACGAAGCUAACAAAUGUUUUCUCUUCUAAAACCCUAAUUGACAAGGACUAAUAUUAAAAUUGUAAAAUGAAUUUUAAGGAUUUUUUUUUUGGGAAAUAUUUUAACCACAUUUUAAAAAAGUGUCUGAAUAGAAAAUUAUAAAAUAAAAUCCAAGUCAGCAACGUUAGCCACAUAUGAUUUUUUAACAAAACUUUGACGUCUGUGACUAACACCAACAAUAAAGUAACAUACAAAGACUCCAUAAAAAAAUGUAGGGACGAAAAUAAAAAACUCGCAAACUUACCGGGACCAAAAGGCUAAUUAAAUACUAAGCUAAUUACUUUUUAAAAGGUUAUAACUUCUUUCCUAGUCUUCUCAGACACCUCUUUAUUCCACACUAUCUAUUACUAUUUUGGACCACCUUGGACCCCUUCUCUCGAGUGAUCUCCUCGGCCUCCAUGAGUUUUUCGAGCGUUAUCCUGAUCACGUUCAUAGAACUCUCCUUGCAUUAAGGCGUUACCCAUGUUUAAAACUUUUUAUAAAGACCAUGAUAUGUAUAUCUUAAUUAAGAGUGUACAUGAGUUAGGUCAACCUAUAAAACUCUAUCAAAUUCACCCAAUAAAAUCCAAAAAAAGUGGGUUGUGACGGAUAAUUAGAUGAAUAUAUGUUGAAAAACUAAAAAACCAAUGACCAAAAUCAAAUUUCGAGUAAAAUUAGACUAAAACCCAAAAAAUCAAUUGACCCGCUAAUCAAACAUUUAUUAUUAAAAUUUUAAUGAUUUUGAUGAAUAUUAACUUAUUUGAUGCAAUUUUAUUCUCUUAACAUUUACUAGUUAACCAUGACUUUAACUAAUUUUGAAUGUUUCACUCAUUGGUUAUUUUGAUGUUAAUAUAAUUUUAUGUCAUGCAACUUUAGUUUGUUGCUAGUAUUAGUUUCACUCAUUGGUUAUUUUGAUGUUAAUAUAAUUUUAUGUCAUGCAACUUUAGUUUGUUGCUAGUAUUUUAUGAUAAUUUUUAGGUAUAAUUAGUCACCAAGUCCUUUAAAUUAAUUUAAUAUUUUACUUUAGUCCCUUAACCAAAAAACAUUACACUCUAGUCCCUUAAAAUUAGUUCCAUUAGCAUUAUUUGUCCCUUCCGUUACUUUUUCUGAAAAAACGUUAAAUGUUGCCAACCUGGCAUGAGAACUCGGCAAAAUCAAGAAAUUUUUCAUUAUUUCUUUCUUAUGAUCAUCUUUAACAUAAAUGAUGAGGUUUUUCAUUAUUUCUCUAUCAAAAUAUCUUUCAUAAUUAAAUUUUACCAUUACUCAUCAAUUUAUUAUUAAUCUCAACCCAUAAUUAUUUUUUUAUGAAAUUUGAUUUGGUCACAUUAUCAGAUUUUCUUCAAUCCAUAAUAUUUCUUAACAAUUUUUUUCAUCCAUCAAAAUCAUCUAUUGUCUUCCAUCAAUCAAAAACCACAAUAAAUCUAUAAUAAAUAAAAAAUUUAUUAUUUUUCUUCAUAAACUCCUAGAAUAAAAAACUCAGAUACAUCUUUCUUUCACGCGUUUUAAAAGAAGGUAAAAAAUAGCAAAAUCUCUCUUCCACACUUAGACAACCACCACCCUCAAAUCCCUCCGGUCACUUUUACAGAAAUCAGUCCUUCCUUUUUCCUCAAUCCAAAAACUUUUCACCUCGAAAUCCAUACAUAACAACACCAAACACAACAAUAACUGAGCAACAGACAACAAAAAGCAACAUUAGAGAACAAAAAGCGGCACCAUUAUCAGACUAACAUCAUACAACCUCCAAGUUUCACUACCACCAUACCAAAUCACAACUCAAAAAAUGACAACAUCACAAAUCUGAAAAGAAACGAAGAAGAAAAAGAAGAGGAGAAGAAAUUUUUUUCCAGAUUCGGUAAUCACUUUCAACGCCUUCUCUGCCACGUGAAACCGUACCAACGUUGGAAAUAGAGAUUCACCCUUAUCGUGCGUUUUUUGGCCGCCCUCAACACCUCUCAGUCGUGUCUUAGUCUUCUUCGUCGCUCCACGUACAAUACUCACAUCAUUUCACAUUUCAACCGUUGUUUUGUUUUAGAAAAAAAAAUAACAUUAGGACUGUUGUACUAUGUUGGGGGAGAAAAGAAGAAAGAAGGAGAAAGAGAAAGAAAGUGACGGCUACAAGUUUCUUUAGAGGGUAAUUACGGUUUGUUUCAAAUAAUGAAUAGAAAUGAAAAUAAGUGCAGAAAAUAUGAAAUAUAUUAAGAAAAUGUGAAAUAUAUUAAAAAUGAAAAUAAGUGAAUUAAUAAAAUUAAAAAAUGGCAAACAAAAAAUCAUGUUAGAUUUUUAAAAAACAAUAGUAGUGUCACGCAAACAAGUUAAUGUUUUUUUUAAAAUAAAAAUAUUGAUUGAUAUUCAAUUAGUCAUAACUAUAAUUGAUAUUAUUUCCUAUUGUAUAUUCCCUAUUUGCAUAUAAAUAUACACCAUGUGUGAUCAUAUUAGACACACAGAGAUACAAUUACAAUAGGAAUGAAUGAGAAUGACAUAUUUGAUGCCUAUAAAACUUUCAUUCAGCGUUACCUUGUACUUGAAGCAAUGACUAAGUGGACCUAAUACCCCAAAAAAACAAAAUAAAUAACUAAAUUUGAAAAAAAAUGCAUAACCUACCACAGUGAAUAUCCAGCUAUCAUCCCGCCAACAGAAUCAAGCAAACCGAUAUUGAGGCAAAUCCAAAUUAUUCUAAAAGAAGUCUGUUCUAAUGAAAUGAGGAAUCUCAACCCACCAAAUAAUAUCCAACAACUCAUGACUAUGAUUAACAAGCCUAUCCAUGCAAUUAUUUCGAAGCCCUUCUAAUACUUUCUGCAAUCUGUCGAAUAUGUUCCGCUCUAAAAUGCGAUGCGCAAACCAUCCCAGUGAAAUGGAGGAGCCCUUCUACAUUGCCGUGUUUUUAAUCCAAACUUAUUUAUCAAUUAGCACUGGAACUCUGCCUUUGUCAUGGUUUCAAAGCUGUUUUUGUUUCUUGCCAUUCAUCAUCAACAAAGUUUUUGCAAAUUUUUUAAUGGAAAGUGAUUGCAAAGAAGUGGGUAAACCGUUUGUUGGAAACGCAUUGAGAGAACUAAUACCAUAGAGAUCCAAGCGUCGGAGACAGGUGCUGUUUAUAAUCAUUUUAGGUACAGAUUUUAGCAUAUGACAGCUCGAUAUGUCUAUUGUUUGCAGCAGACAUGGAGAAUCACUCUCGAGCAAUGAGUAUUGGGUCCUUUCAGUAUUGCUUUCUGAAUUCGAAUCUCCCCUAAUACAAAUAUUUUUUAUUGAGGAGAGCCAAUGUUGAGUAGGUGGUGUUGCCAAGAGAUGGUCGCAACCAUCUAUAUCAAUCUUUUCUAUGGAAGGAAGAUGAGUAGGUAAAUGUCCCUUUAAUUUGGGACACCAUAAUAACCUCAGAGUUUUCAGACGAGGAAAAGGAGACAUGUUGUCUGAAAAAGGAUGUCAUUCCUUCCAAUUUCCCAUGGACAAAAAGAACAAAUUCUCAAGGGAUUGAAAUGGUUGGAACGAAGAAUUGGAACCUCCUGCUGCCAUGCCAUAGAACUGCGGCCCAAUUGUCUCCAAAAUUGUCAUCCUACCAAUUUGCAAGUCCUUAAGAACAAAUUCUCAAGGGAUUGAAAUGGUUGGAACGAAGAAUUGGAACCUCCUGCUGCCAUGCCAUAGAACUGCGGCCCAAUUGUCUCCAAAAUUGUCAUCCUACCAAUUUGCAAGUCCUUGAGAGAGGGUAGCUGCCCUAGUGGUGGAAGUGUCGUGCGAUUCACACAUUCAUCAAUAUAGAGGGACACCAUGUUAAAAAAUGAUGGAUCUCCCAACCAACUAGGAAAAUGUGUCCCACCAUACAAGCCAAUGCUUAAUAUCUUAAGGUUUGCAGAUGGUUGUAACAUAUCAAGCACAUUUCUUUCAUUAAGUGUGUCUUCAGUUUCCUUACCCCACUCUAGCGUCAAUACCUCAAUAUGUUCUUUGCUCUUCAAGUUGGUAUCACUUGCCUCCAUGACAACAAUGACAUUUUGCAGGUUCUUGAUGAAUAAUUCUCCCCGUAGAUUAGGAAACUUCCCAAGCUCUCUAACAGUUGAACCAAUAUUUAAGAACGGAUGAUGUUUUUGUAAAUCUCAAACUUCCAAAAGUAGUUCAGCAAUUUGCUUCGGCAUCUCUAUUAUGCUUGUCCUAUCAAUAUAAAGAUGACGCAAAUUAAUUAAUUUUCCAACAUGUUUUGGCAAUUCUAUGAGUUUUGAGCACUCAGAUAAAAUCAAGGUUUGCAAGUAGUAGAGGUUGCAUAUGGUGUCAGGCAAGCUUGUAAUAUUCGUGUGAGAGAGAUCUAGAUAGCGCAACUGCACUAAAUUGCCAACUGUAUUGGGUAACGUGGUGAUGUUUCUAUAUUUUGACAACGAUAAAACACGCAACCUUCCAAAUGUGGGUAGCAAAUAAUUGACCACAUUUCUUGAUAAAUUAUAUUCUGCCCAUCGAAAUUCAAUGGCAAGGAAGCUUCUCAAGCGUUUGAAUUUGUCGAAAGUCUUAAACUUCUUGAAAAUGUCGUAUGUUUCUUUAUUAUAUGACAAGUGACGAACAUUUUCAUAGCUCUUAGCGCCAAAUUCAUGUCUGUAACAACUUCUUCCAGAUACAGCAGUAGCUAAAUCAUUAACAAGGUCAUGCAUGACAAAUUCAUGUCUGUAACAACUUCUUCCAGAUACAGCAGUAGCUAAAUCAUUAACAAGGUCAUGCAUGACAAAUAUUUGUUUUCCAUAAUUAUCAUGCAAUUGUUGAAUCAAUGAUCUGGAUAACAAUUCUGCAAAAAACUCAUCACCUAAUUCUUCCAUGGUUUUUCUGUCUUGAGAAUGAUCAAGGAAGCCUUCUGCCAUCCACAACAAAACCAAUUGCUUCCUAUCAAGCGGAUAGUCCUUUGGAAAAAUAGAGCAAUAGGAAAAACAUCUUUUCAAUUGAGAGGAAAGAUAUUGAUAACUCAAGCGCAAUGCAGGCAAAAUGUUAUCAUUUUGUAAGUUCCAUAUGUCGUUGUUCAGAACUUCAAUCCACUCUUCAGUAUCUACUUUCGAACGCAAUAGUCCUCCAAGUGAUUUUGCAGCGAUUGGCAAUCCACCACACCUUCUGGCAAUCUUCCUACCAAUUGGUUCUAGGUUUCGGCGUUGAGUUUCAGAAAAGUCUCCACUUCCAAAUGCAUGUUUGGAGAGUAAAAACCAACUGUCUUCAUGGGAUAGAGGAUCUAAUGAAAAAAUAGGAAAUGUGCGUGCAACAUCUGCCACGUUUUUGUGGCGUGUUGUGAUGAUCAUUCUGCUUCCAUUUUUUCCAUAUA